Petromyzon marinus (sea lamprey) is the source of this 234-nucleotide non-coding RNA. Lineage: Eukaryota; Metazoa; Chordata; Hyperoartia; Petromyzontiformes; Petromyzontidae. The record is from RefSeq and is a predicted model, not a curated record.
GGUUAACUAGCAGGUUAACUAGCAGGUUAACUAGCAGGUUAACUAGCAGGUUAACUAGCAGGUUAACUAGCAGGUUAACUAGGAGUGGACGUGGCUCAUGAUGACCACGGCGUGAACCAACUCGGCAAGGGACCAGCAGUCCUCACCGGGAAGCAACAGCCGCUGGGGCGAGAGGUAACCAGGUUAACUAGCAGGUUAACUAGCAGGUAACCAGGUUAACUAGCAGGUAACCAG